This 734-nucleotide unclassified non-coding RNA is filed under the name Hevea brasiliensis (rubber tree). Lineage: Eukaryota; Viridiplantae; Streptophyta; Magnoliopsida; Malpighiales; Euphorbiaceae. The record is from RNAcentral.
UGGUGAAUUUCCUGUCAUGAAUUACCGGAUAACCCAGGAAUUCAAGCCUCCCUUUCGUAUUAAUACUUUGAUUGAAGAAGCUGGAUCACUUAAGGCUGAAGUUAUCUUGAAAAUCCGUGCUGAAUUUCCUUCGGACAUUACUGCAAAUACAAUCUUGGUACAAAUGCCGCUGCCUACAUAUACAAGCAGAGUAAGCUUUGAGUUGGAACCUGGAACAGUUGGCCAAACAACUGAUUUUAAGGAAUCCAAUAAGAGGCUUGAGUGGAAUUUGAAGAAGGUUGUCGGUGGAUCAGACCAUACAUUACGUGCCAAGCUAACAUUUUCACAAGAGUCACAUGGAAAUAUCACCAAGGAAGCUGGACCAGUGAGCAUGACCUUCACAAUCCCAAUGUACAAUCCUUCAAGGCUUCAGGUGAAAUAUCUGCAAAUUGCAAAGAAGUCAAAGACAUAUAAUCCUUAUCGGUGGGUGAGAUAUGUGACUCAGGCCAAUUCAUAUGUUGCUCGUAUAUGAUGGCUGUUGAGACCUUUUCCAGCAUUACCCUCCUCGGUUUCUUCUUCUCUUUUUCACUUCUUCCUAAACAUCUUUUGCCCACUCCCUGUUGAGGUGUCUUGAGUUCUAAAUUGUCUUUUCUAACUCUGGUUUUGGGCUUUCAAUGUUUGUACUAUAUUGUCUAGAUAAUGAUGGAGGGCUCUUUGGUGAUUCUCAUUUUAAAAAAUUGUGCAACUAAUGGAAA